Molecule: long non-coding RNA, 38446 nt
Filed under: Panax ginseng (ginseng)
Lineage: Eukaryota; Viridiplantae; Streptophyta; Magnoliopsida; Apiales; Araliaceae
Description: long non-coding RNA (PGIN_LNC003897)
Source: RNAcentral
UCUGAUAUUUACAGAUGUUGAGGUAUAGAAUAAGAGUCUUAGACUCAGUAUUUACCCGAUAAAGCUGUCGGUACGCCGACAAAUGUCAGACCUUAUAAAAGAAAGAAAAGACUACUGUAAGAGCAUGGAUGAGAUAUUUGAAAAAUGUAUAAAAAUAUUUCAAGUAUAGAAUAGGAACUAAAAGUAUGAUCACUGUGAUUAUGUGAUUAGACUAUGUGCUGACUGUAAUAGACAGUACUAUGUGUUAAGAUAUAUUGUUCUAAUCGAACGAAUGAUCUGAUUAUUGAUAGGUUGUGAUAAAGAGAUAAAACCUAAGUUGAGAUUUGUAAUCAGCGAAUCAGGCAAGUAUCCUACCUUUGCAUUUCCUUUAUGCAAUGGACAUGAGUAAGAAGUUUCAGAAUUAUUCUAUUCCUGUACAGAUUAUGUACGCUUUGAUUAUCAACAUGUUAGCUCAGAUAUAUAUUCUGUUAAGUUGAUUUCUAAAUGGUUAUACAAGUGUCCCCACUUGGAUAAUCAUGGCAUUUAUUCACAUGUUGAUAUACCUUUGUCAAUUACCCGUAUACAUAUAUGUUGAAUUACAUAUUAUUGUUGAGCAAGAUUAAAAACCUUCGGGUUUGGAACCAGGCAUGUAUGAACAUCCCUAUAUGGGAAGAUUUUUGCGCCCAAGGCGGAUAGAGUGAGCGAUGAAUUUCGUUCAAGUUAUGUAGUAUUGAUCAAUACAGGGUACAACGGGGCUGAUCACCCUCCGUGCCCGUAAGUUAUGACGGUUUGAGGAUAGAAUUCCGCUAAACCUUUUCGAAAAUGAAAAGAAUGUUCAUAGUAUGUUUCUUAAACCCUAUUCAAGGGUAGAGCCAGAGCCAAAUUUAAAGAAUUUGAAAGAGAGUUGUUAUGUGAAUUUUUUAUCAGUACAGAUUACUUCACAACUUUCAAUUCGUUGUAGAAGUGUUAUGUAAAGAGAAUACUUAUAUUCUUUCAGCUUAUAUAUAAUUGCUAUUACUUGCUGGGCACUUAAAUGCUCAUCCUUGCUUAAAUUAAAUGUUUUCAGUUAUGUAUGAGCAACCUGAAGGCUCAGGCACGAACAAAGGAAAAGGAAAGCUGAUCGAAUAAGUGUGUAUUAUGAGUUAAUGGUUAUAGUUGUAUUGGUAUCUAUUCAAGUAUUGUAAGGAAUGUAUUUGAAGGUCACGUACCUGGGGAAGUAAACUUUGAUGUAUGUAAAUUAAGUUCGAAUGUAUUAUUAUUUAGUAUUAUUCAGCUUAAAGAAAUGGUAUCGUGGAGAACCGAGUUCGGGUUUCAAGUAUCCGGAUUUGGGGUCGCCACAGUUAUAUCAGCAAAGGAUCGCCAGAUCCUACAACAAAAAAGUUCGGCUACGGCGGUUUAAACAACAUGACUUUGUUUUGAAGAAAAUUCAUGACAACCAAGAUCAGGCUAAAGGAAAAUUCGCUCCUAACUGGGAAGGCCUGUUUAUUGUCAAAGAAGUAUUGAUAGGAGGCGCUCUCAGAUUGCAGGAAAUGGACGAUGAUGAAUUUCUGCAACUCAUCAACUCAGACACCGUGAAACGGUAUUAUGUCUGAAGUAACCAGCAAACACCCUGGUACAUCAUCAUCAGGUCACCAGUCAUUCCGGUUCUUUAACCCUUUACCACAUACAACUUAUCUACACUUUGCCCCUCAGGGAAACGUACUCUUCAAGCCAAUAGCCUGGCUUUCUCCUCUGCAUUCCUACAACUUAGGUCAUCCCACCGUGGAUUGAACCUCUUGCGUUUGUAGUUUGGCUACCCAUAUCUAGGAUCAAACUUCUCAUACCUGCAUUUUAUCCUCAACGUAGGAUUAAACUUUCUCCUCCCCGCACUCUGACCUGCACAUGGGAUUACGCUUUUCUUCUCGCCUUGAGGGGCGAACUACGUCGACCUGAUCUCCUCUUCAAUAGGAGUAUGUAGGCAACCAUUUCAUAUGGCCCGGUCACAAUAAAACAAAAACAACAAAAACAACAAAAACAUUUCUACCCUCUUCUCCUUACAAAAACAAAAACAACCAAAAACAUUCCUAAACCAUGUUAGCCAUAUACAGCGUUGAACCUCUUACACCAGGUUCGAACUACGCAGACCUGAUCUCCUCUUCAAUAGGAGUACGUAGGCAGCCAUUCAUAGUGCGGUCUCACCCCCUACAAAAACACAAACCAUUGUCAACUGGUACUGGGAUCUUUCAAUCCAUUACAUUUCAUUGGCUUCAAACCAAAGGGAUGGAAUUACCUAAACUCCUCCCAAAUAGGAGAUUCAGCGACCAUCUAAGUUGCGGUCAUACCUUGAAGAGCAACACCAAUCCAUAAGAGAUGGAAUUAACUAGGCUUUUCCUAAAUAGAAGUACUGGCGACCAUCUGUGGUGCGGUCAAUCUUAGAGAGGAAAGCCACACUCAUCUCCAUAUUUCCAUUCAGAAACAAGUCCCAAGACACCAAAGAUGGAAGGGAUAAACAUAGAUCAAUGAUUCAUUCUGAACUAUCCAGAGACAACUCAAUCUCCAUCCAACUAGGAGGAAUUCAGAAUACUUCAAGAUCACAAGCCCUGAAGCAGCAGGCAAAAUAUCAAACAAAUAGCAAGGCAUAUCUAAAAGGGAAGUGAUCCAAAAAUAUAUUUCCCUGUCAUAUAUAUAAUGUUGUUUGAUAUAUAUACAAUGUAAACUGUACAUGACAAAAUGACUAAGCUAGUCUGUGCAGGUAAAUACAAGCUCCUCUACAAGUCCGGGUAUAUGCGAGCUAACAAUCCCAACAUGGCGUCCCUCUCAGAAGACGGAGGCGAAGCUAUGGUCUCAUGUAUAAGAAUAUCCAGACGACCCAAAAGAUAUGUAGCCAUCUACAUGGUGACCAUAUGAUCAUCAAUAUAUGCACUCAUCUCUGCGAUCAUGCCAGUGGUAAGGGACCUCACUGCAGUACUAUCUGUGAUGGCUACAUCCCGGGCAGAUAUGGCACUAUCCCGCUCGACUAUCACUGCAUCUCUGGCUGCUAUAGCCUCAUCCCGCUCAACAACAGCGGCAUCUCUGCGAUCUAAUGCCUCGUCUCUCUCUAAUAGAGCUGCGUCUCUCCCAGCAAGGGCAGUCAACAUCAUAGAUCGAGCAUGAUCUCUCUCAAAGGUCAUCAUAUGAAGACUCUGCUCUAAGUACUGUGCCGAGUGCUAAAUCACAAAAGUACUGGUACUAGGAGAAUCCGGAAGAAAUGCUGGCAACCUAACAGUGGGCUCCUCCUCGAUGUAGGUAUCAAUGUCCUCCAUGGGCUCUACAUCGUCUGAUUCACUAUCCGGUACUGCAGAUACUGUUGCAGCCGAUAAAAUCUCUGUCUCUAUCCAUGCGGAAUACUCUGCAGAACACCCGGGAUGACUGACAAAAAAAGUAGCUAUCUCACGCUGAUCCCAGCAAGCAUACACACGGGAUUUGCCCUCUACUAAGAGAUAUCGAGAAACUGAACGCUGACAUAUCGCCCCAUUAAAAGGAUAGAAAUCCUGGAACUGGUCGAACUGCGACAUCACGACAAGUGGGUGAUAAGUAGUCACACCCCUCAAUCCAGCCAAAGGGAGAAAAUCCAUGCCCAGAGCGUGAGUAAUGAAGUUGUAUGGUGAGCAAAGCCCUGAGCACGACAAUAUGCUGAAUGGAUCUCUGAUAUCUACCAAAAAUAUAGAUCAGGACUGAGCAUCUAUACACUCUGAUGGCUGAAAGGAGUAUGACAUGGCCACAUCAUGGGAGAAGCAAUACCCAUGUCGUCUAAGGGUACCAACCGGUCUCAAGUGUGACAUAAACCACACGUACAAUAUGACCGAACUCCCAGUGAACACUCCUGUAGGAUACGUGCAACAAUAGGAUGUCGACCACAGGGUCUCUACUACGAUAAUAGGUACAAUGGUGCGACCCUCUCUAAGAGCUCUCACAGCCAUAAUGACACCAAUGUCUAUCUCGUCCAUAUAUCGUGGCAUAUAGACAUACGACAGUACGCACAGCAACAGUACGUCAACCGUGGCCAAACGCCAAUGGUCCUCCGGUGCGGUGAAAUCCCCAGAAUAUCAUGAGUAGCUAUCCUCUGAGCCAAAUCUGUCAUACAGAAAAUGCUGGGAGAUCACAUGGCUAGAUGUCAGCUCGUCCUGCACUACUCUACGCCUCAAUCCUGUGAGAGUCAUGAAUCGUCUACUCAUGUCUCCCAAAGCUAGAUGCACGCAAGGUCUGUCUAAAGGCAGCAUCGUCAAACGUGCAUACUCCUCCAGAGUAGGAGUCAACUCAUGGGUGCUAAAACGGAAUACCUGCCUAUCAGGUAGCCAAUGCUGUAGCAUCCCAUCUACAAAUCCUGUAGGAACCUGAAAAGGCAAUAAAGUCAUGGUAUGCUGUAGCAACUGAUCUACGAUCACCCUAUCUGGUGGUGUCAUGCUAUCGUACCACGAUCGCAUACCCAAUGCCACCAAUGAUGGUGGGGUAUGAUCUAUACGACUAACUGUCGAAGAAGACAUCUUUGCCGGCCGUGUCAUAAGACCAUCCAGGGGUCAAUCCCGAAUAUCUCUGGACAUACAUACAUAUGCAUAACAUGAUACAUGCAUAACAGAUAAUGGAUGACAAUAUGAUAUAGGGAAUGAAAAACGGUGCAUACAUUCCUAAAUAUAUCAUCAUCUAAUACAUCAGCUCUGUACAGCUACAAAUACAGAGAAAUGGGGCACAACUGCCCUACUACUAGCAGAGGCCUAUCAAAAGAUAUAGCGAGAAUGGGGAACAACCACCCAAUAUCUAACAGAGGCCUAUCAAAAGAUAUAACGGGAAUAUACAUCAGAAGAAGACCAGGGUCUCGAUGUCCACGUCCUCAAUCCUGUCCACCUGAUGUAACUUUUCCUGAGUCACUGGAUCUCUAUCAACAUAGAUGUCAGGCCUAUAUAGAGGAGGAUCUACGCCGGCAAAACCAAAUGGGUCAUAUGAGGGGCCACCACCUGAGCUGGAAGGAACAAAUGACUCUGCCUCUGCUGGAUCUCUGCCUAAAUGCCGAAUAAAUAAAUGUGCCUGGUCCAACUGUCGAGUCAAACUAUCAAUCUGGGUCAUAUGAGUCGGAGCUCGGACACAAGCUACCUAAUCCAUCAUCAUCAAAGAUCUUGGAACCAUGUCCCCCAUAAACUGUGUGGCGCGGGACUGUGCUCCAAUAGUGCGGAGGAACCACCAACGCUGGAACGUCUCCUGAGUACAUGGGCAUUCUGAUAAUGCAAAGUCGUGAACUCCCAACAAUGGGAUAUGAAUGACGGGUGACUGUGAUAUAGGCCAAUGACGCCUGGCAGGAGGCAAGAUCGGUACACGGAUCUCCCCUGUGGUGCUCCUAAUAGCACGCUCACCUAAAUAGAGCUGCCACCCUCCAAUAGUGAAGAGAGGAACUCUCCUGGUAGAGAUCAAAUACUCGACUCCGGUCGGAUGUCCAUCCUCAAAGCCGAUGGUCAAAUGCUCCCCUGAAUAGGGAAUCCAUGUAAUGGUACCCGCCAUCAGCAACUCCAGCUGCAUACGGCAGUGAGUGAAUCCCUCAGAUACAAGGACCUCCGGCAAAAUAGAAUGGUGCCAUCGUCAUCCUCGUGGAUAGGUAUCUAAACCUAACACACUCACAGGAUGCAAAAUGGGAGCCUCUCAUAGGCCCAAAACUGCCAACACAAUGGCAAAAAAUCUGCUAUCAGUAAACACUCUUAACCUAUGAAUGGGAAAAGUAAAGAGAAAUACUCACCAGCAGAAAUGGGUAAAAUCCUAGCCAAGCCUCAGUUAGACCCUGUGAGCGCAUGCGCAUGCCCCGGAGGAAAUAGGCAAAGGUAUAAAAGCCCCAAUCAUACUCUCUAAUACGGUCCACAUCGCGUGUGGCGCUGACCAAAGCGAAAGAUACCGUGGAAGAGUUUUCUGCUAUGAAGCAGCCUCGAAUGAUCAUCAGGAACAAUCGCCGCAGAACGCGAUCCCUGAUCCUGACAUCAUCAGGCAUGGGCUCACUCAAUAGCCCGCUCAUAGCAUCUACGCUCAAAGGACCUGAACGGACAGUCCGGCCUUUGAUCGCUCCCGUCGGAACUCCUAAUAAGGAUCUGACGACCGUAGGGGUGAUAUUCGUUAUGCAAGGCAUUGGCUCCUCUCCAAACUCCAUACCUGUGAUAAAUCACCAAUCCAUAGGCGUCAUCAUCACCUCGCAAUCCAGCAGGUGGAGUGACUGAGUCUGAUGAAACCAUCGCUCAGACAAUGCCCUGAGAUAACCCCAGGGACAACAACGGGGAAGGAUGGAAAAGAACGCCCCAAUUCCCCACUCAUUCACUAUCGCUCUGUAGUCAGGAUGAAGCGCCUGGUAUAUGGAAUGAAUGCUAAACCAGUUCCCUCGAGGCUGUGUAAAUCCUGGAACCUGCAUGAAAUGUAGAUCAACAUCAGAACCCUUUAAUCCUCAUCAAUAGGAAAGAAGGAAGAUCAAAGUCUAACGCCAUACCUCGUUAGCAUGCAAGUACAUCGAUGGAUGUCUGCCCAAAUCACCCAGCAACUCUGGGUUCAUCACCUCAAUCGGAAUAUCCGCCUCCUCAUCCUCAACGUCUAGAACAUCUACCUGGACAGGACGUAUCACGGCCUCCACCAACCGACGAGGCUGUCUGACAGAACGGGGACGAGGCACUUCAGAAGCCCUCCGCCGUACGCCAAAAGUUGUCCUGUAGGAACUGCUCGGCUGAUCCAGAUCCAUAAUAUCUGGACAACAAGUCUCCAAAUCACCUCAGAAAGGGUGUGGUAUUUCCUUACUUGGAGCUUUUUAAAUGCAUUUAUGACUAUAUGCAUGAAUGCAUUUACUUUAGCAUAUAAUAGAGUUAAAGUGCAUGACUACCCAAUGCCUACAUUUGGAAAAUUUUUUCCAUAGUCCCCUUUGAAAAUAGGACUAUCCACAUGCACAUAGGCAUGUCUAGGUGGCCAUUCAGUAGCACACCUGCCCCAAAGUCAUAUACAUAAUAUAUGCAUUAAAAAUCAAAAUCAUCAUGCAUAAGGCCAACCUCAAUGCUAGGAGUACUUUGCCUUUCUACCUUUUGCUCAUUGGACCUCAAAUAGGACAAAAAAUAGCAGAAAAAGGUGUCAAUUUGACUGUCUCAGAAGUCAAAUUUUUUCACAUCAUUAUGUUCAGCAUGGUUUAAUACUAACAUUUAUUAUGUUGAAUAUUUUUUAUCAAGUCAUUUGUGUAUACAUAAUCACUACUAUGUGUUUAGAUGCAUUUCGUGCGAUAACUCACAAUCUAUCGGACAGAAACUGGAAAAAAAUACAUGCAUACAUUACUAGGAUAGUGUAGAACACUUGUACGGUGACAGAAUUUGCAGAAAGCAGCCCGAACUCAGUAGAUCUGAAGAUGGCUCACGGUUUUUUCAAAGUGAAGCAAGUUGAAAGUGACUUGUGAAGACCAACCUGCAGGAUUUAUGAUCCACGGUUGGCCGCAGGCUCAUCUAUGGCUGCAGCAGGUGCACCUGCGGCACCCCUAUGUGGGCCCCACCCAUUCGACUUGGUCCAGUUCGAGUUGCAAAGGAGUUCUCACAGACUGAAAAGGUCAAAUCGAGAAUAAAAAUGCCACGCGAUUGAGCAAAACAGCAUACAAUCCUGGUCUUCUCAGAUGAGACUUUGAAUCUGUACAUCACUCAUUGGUAGUCCCCUAAACACAAGGUAUACCUUGCCGAUGACCUCAGUUGUCACAAAUUGCAUACAGCAAUACCUUAUACAGGUCCGAUAUCGCCGACUCCAGGUCGUUACCCUACGUAUAUUCCCCGACGGGGGUUACAACAUAAGUCCCCGGCGGGGGUUACAACGUAAAUCCCCUGUGGGGGUUACAACACAUUCAUCCGUUGACAUGUCUAUCAACAAAGGUCAAGCAGCCUUGACGUUAUUUCAACCGAUGGCAAGUAAACCCAUCGAAGCAUUGGGAACCGUUCGAUAGUUGCAUACGUACUCAUACGUCCCCAGCAGAUCCCCGGCGGGGGUUACAACGUAUAUCUCCGGUGGGAGUAACAAUGCGUGCUCAACCAUUGACACACAUAUCAACGAAGGUGAAUCAACCUUGACGUUAUUUCUGCCAAUAGCGAUUAAACCUAUCAGAGCUAUAGAGCUAUUCGAGGUUUGUAUACCCAACUGCUCGUAUUCCCCAGUGGAUCCCUGGCGGGGGUCACAAUGCAAUGUUCUGUUGAUUCACACGUCAGCGAAGGUCAAGCAACCUUGACGAUCUCCUCACAGAGUCUCAGUCAUUGAUUCACACAUCAGCGAAGGUCAAGCAGCCUUGACAGUAUAUCCCAUAGGAUUUUCCAGCCAUUGAUUCACAGGAUGGUGAAAUACACAUCAACAAAGGUCAGGCAUCCCUGAUAGCGUUUGCUGUUGGCAGUAAAUCCAACAGAAUCUUAACAUGUCCUGGCGAUACCAACCCGGAAAGGUUAAUGUUAUGAAAGAGGAUAAAUGAUGGAAUAUGUUAUACACAUCCUCAAACAGAUCAAGCUUUAUCCCCACAGAUCUCUUGCGCAUAAGAGGUACCUCUUCAGGAUCAAGUCGUUAUCAAGAACACAGGAAUUUGGUGAUAACUCCAACAUCAACAUCCUAACAGAUUUGGCUUAUACGUCGAAUCGGGACAGCAUUGCUAAUCCCCAGUUGAAGCAACAGGGAUCCCGCAAUCAUCCCCAGCAUGUUGGGCUACAACCCCGUACACAUGCAUCAUACAUUUGCCUCAUUUUGCUACCCAUAGUACCACGUUUGUCUUUUUGAGUUUCAAGUGUCUAGGAUUCUUUAUCAUACCCAUGCAUCGCCAUCCAUGAGUAUGAUAAAGAGGGGCAUCUGUAGACACUCAAAAUUUUCAGUACUACUAUUACUAACAUUGCAAGAGGAUAGAUUCGUCUUUUAAGAGAGAACCCUGAAAGACGAUCCAAAUCCAUGCCGGAUACUACCGGAAGUUUAGCAUCAACCCCGGAUCGCAAUCUGGGAGUAACAAUUCCAACCUUGGAUGUAACCCUGGGGCUUGCAGAUCCAAUAUCGGAACACACACCGGAGAAGACCGAUUAAUCUCGGAGAUGACCCCGAGGUAUCCAGUCUCAGUCCCAACCAUGGGAAUAGCCCUCAACCUUGGUGAUAGCCCCAAGGAAUGCAGUUUCGGUGAUAACCCCGGAAAUACUUGUGUCAAAUGCAACCAGCUUCAAUCUCAGUGCUCACAACAAAAUACACUGCACCAACCCGGCAAUAACAUCAGGAAGACAGGCACACCUCAAAGAUGACAAUGAGGACCUUCAACAAUUGAAGCAGUCCAAUCUCAGCGAAGUCUGAGCAACGUCUGCUAUAUAAGCCCAAUCCGGCGAUAACACCGGUAAGGGGCAACAUCGUCAUCUCAUCAAACACGAUGCCAUGUCACGUCUCCACACAACGAUGUCCCACAAGGCUAACCAAUCCCGAGUGACUAUUGUGCGGGGUAACAGAUGAAAGCUGAAGCUUGAAGACCGGACGACAUUGUCCCAUCUUCAAUGACUUCACACAAAUUCUAAUCCCAUGCCAUCGUACAACUCUCGACAAUGGCGGUCCGAAAUAGGUCUUAUAUACCUCAAACAGAUGUCCGAAUUGCACUUCUGAAAAAUUGAGUGGACAUUAUAGUGCCUGAGUGCACGUACUUCGAGAUGACCCGACUUGACAAACCCGGGCCAACCCGGGUUGCCUCUGGUACACCUGCGGCUCAGCCGCAGGUACACCUGCGGCUAAUAUGCCUAUAAAUAGAGGGCUUGGGGUGCUGAUUUUUAAGAGAAAAAAGAUGGGGAAACCCUGCACAAUUCACUCCACACUCGCCCUACAGUGUAUUUUCCCACUUUUAAACACCUGUGAGCUCAUAUAUAGCCUCUUUUGUACCCACAAAAGCCAGUGUUUACCCACUCUAAAGAUAUAGAAGCCUUUUUUAGCAGUCAACUGUAAGCCUUCUCACACACUUUAGAGUCUUUCUCUUCAUCUUUGCACACACCCUUCUACACGUUGAGAGUCGUGUUGCUUGCUUUUGCCCGGACUUCAGUCCGUGGUUUCAUUUCAGUCUAUAUAUAUAUAUAUAUAUAUAUAUGAACUGUGGUCGAACUCUGUUCGAUGAGCCUGGAUUUUAUAUUCGGUGCAUUUAUUCGCUUAUAUAUAUAUAUAUAUAUAUAUAUUCUUAUAUAUAUGAAUUAUGGUCGAACUCUGUUCGAUGAGCCUGGAUUUUACAUCUGGUGCAUUUAUUGCUUAAAUAUAUAUAUAUUGUCCCACCUGGAGUUUACUUCGUGGUGGUUGAUCGCUUUUACAGCUUUCUUUACGUUUCGUCCUGCCUGGAGUUUACUUCGUGGCAGUUGACUGUAUUUACAGCUUUAUUUAUAUUCUGUCCCGCCUGGAGUUUCCUUCGUGGCGGUUGACCGUAUUUACAGCUUUAUUUACAUUUCUGAUCCCCCGUGGUGGUGCUUCGUGGUUGGUGAUCCUGUCUAUGUAUAUAUAUAUUUCCCGUUUUUAUAUAUAUACCUACUUACUACUUUCAUACAAAUUGCAGCAUUCUGUGCGCCUAGGAAUCAUGUGAUCACAGAUUCAUCUCAUUGGAUCUAGAUUCGGUUCCCGUGAUGGACAUUUUCAGCUGUAAGCAGCUUGUAAAUUAUUCUGCGAUGUCUGUAUUUCCUCAGAUGGUUUCCAUACCCACGAGGAAGUCGGCAUUAUUUUGUACAUUAUUUUCAUACGGAUGCCUCGCAUUCGUAAAAUAAAAUCAAUUCAGCCGCUCACUUAAUAAAAAUAGGAGUGUAAAAGGUCUCAAUUCCUAUUGAGCAUUAGGGUUUGAAAAACCUCUUUUAUAAAACAUCACUGCCAUAUCUUGCUAAAAACUGAAUUUUCACAUAAAUUCAAACCCUGUGUAUAUAGGUUCGAACGAAGCCUCGCACUACUUCCAAAUAACAGCACAUUGACCCACACACACACACUCAGAUAAUAGUUUCUUGAAAAGAGGCGGUCACCAUGGUAACACGGAUGUCGGGGGGUGCCUAACACCUUCCCCCCGCAUAAUCAAGUCCCCGGUCCCUAACGAAUCUCGGUUUCACCGACCCGUAUAUCAGUGUCACAUCACUAGGUCAAUGUGCAAACCUUUUCUCAGUUAUGUUGGUACAACCAUUUAAAAAACCAACUGGCGACUCUUAACAGUCCCAUCGUCGACAUUAUACAUGUCGGACCUUUUUCACUUCUUUUUUCAAACAAAUCUCACCUAAAUUGAGAACACCAAAGAACAAGUAACGGAAUGGGACAUCGAAAAAUCCCGACGUCGACAACUAAUAUUACCAUUAAAUGAUUUUUAAAACAUUUAAAAUCAUUUUUAAAUAAUUACCAUUAAUAUUCAAAUAUUAAUGUAUUUCUCAUUAAAAUAUUAAAAGUUAUUUAUUAUAACUUAAAAUAUUUUUAAAUCAUUUAUAUCAUUUUUAAUUGAUUUUUAAAUCAUAAAAAUCAUUUUAAACCAUUUAUUUAAUACAAUUACUAAAUAAAUUAUUAUCAUUAAUAUUAAAUUAUUAAUUAAAUUUAUCUCAAAAAUAUUAAAAGUCAUCUUUUAUAACUUAAAAUUUUGUUUAACACUUUUUUAUCAUUUAAAAUGAUUUUUAAAAUAUUAAAAUCAUUUUGACUAAUUUUUUAAUAAAAUUAUUAAAUAAAUUUAAUAUCGUUAAUAUUUAAAUAAUUUAAAAUAUUAAUGAAAAUAUUGUCAAAUUAUCAAAAGUUAAUUUCUAUAACUUAAAAUAAUUUUUAAAACUCAUUUUUGAAUUUUUAUUAUUUAUUUUCUAUUUUUAUUGAUUUAUUGAAAAUUAAUUUUAUUAAAACUGUCGCGAUAGGCUUUAGCGACGAAAACUUUCGUGGUUGGUGUUCUUCAUCACUGAAGAACAACCAGGGUCAAUGCCUUGGGGGCUAGUUUGACCAUGGUUAAUUUCUUACUGGUUUGGAUUAUGGGCUUGAGAUGUUAAUCACGGUGUUUGUACUAGUGUAAUACUACAAGUACAAACCAAUAUCAUGGUUUAACUACAACACAUCAUGAAUAUCUAAGGCUCAAAGUGGCUGUCAGGCCUGUUCUAGGUUUUCUGGGUUACCCAGAAACCCAGAGAAUUCUUGGUAGGUACUUUGUAGCUUUAAUAACUUAAUUUCUGGACAUUGUUUAAGUGUUAGAGUGUUACAAUCUUGUAGAUAACAUGUCAAAGAACAAAAGUACUACACUUAGGUAGCCUAAAUACAUCACAUAUGCAAGAUUUGGGUUGGUCAAACCUUGUCAGAAAAAAUGUUCAUCAGUUUUCUGGAAUUUCCAAAAAACCCAAACUGUGCUUUGUCAACCUAGUUUUACUGCUAAUAACUUUGAUUUUGUUAGUGGUAUAUGUGUUCUAAUGUCAUGGUUCUAUAGUCCAUAUACCAGGAUAUAACAAUGAUACACUUACACAAGCUAAACACAUAACACAUGCAAGAUCCUAGCCCAACAAAAAGUUGUCAGACCAUUCUGGGGAUUUUCUGGGUUAUCCAGAAAUGCAAAGUCAUGACUGGUCAACCUAUUUUGACUAUUAAUAACUUGGAAUCUAGACAUGAUAUAAACAUGAUUCCACUUCCAGAUUACUCUCCUCAUAGCAUACUACACCACUGAUACAUCUAACAAGUCUAACAAAUAAAAGAUUUGGAUAUAUGACCUCUAACAUUUGACUGUCAGGCCAUAUUUUAGGGUUCUUGGCAGUUUUUAAAAACUUCAUUUUUAAGCACAUAGAUGUUAUGGAUCCAUGAUAUAUUACCAUAGAUCACUAAAUAACAUCCUAUAACACAUAAAUAAACACAAAAACACAAAAAUAGUCUUAGCAGACAAGAUCUAGCUUAGUUAGGGUUUAUCUCUCUUUGAAUAUCCUUUGAUCCUUGCUUCCUAAUCUGAUAUUGGGGUGUUAUGGCCUUAUCGAGGGACUAAUCUACUCAAUGAUUUCGUGGCUUGAGAAAGAGAGAGACUUAGCUAGUGUAUAGAACACAAAUGAGACUUAUCUGUGGUUUUUCUCUAUUUUUAAUCUCUCACUUUGAUUCAAUGAACUUAGAUGUUGCUAGGUGGCAUAUAAGAUCUGAUUUGUUUUGGAUUUGGAGCACAUGGGAGAUUUAAAGUAUGGUGAGUCACAAGUUUUUUCAAAUCUUUUAACUUACAAGUUAAGUAAAAGGGUAUUUUAGUAAUUUCACCUCAAAAAGGGUAUUUUGGUAAUUUUCCAUAUAAUUUUAAGGGUAGUUUAGUCAUUUGACAUGAUCUCCUUUAAGCUUAACCCUUAGGGUUUGAUAAUCACCAUUAUGGUUUGCUAACUAGGGUUUAGGGUUCCCAAAUAUGAAAUUACGGUUUUCGAAAAUACAAUUAGGGUUCUUAACUGAUCGUUAGGGUUUUGUAACUACAAAUUAGGGUUUCUAAUCUUAAAUUAGGGUUUACUAAGGUUAUACCUUAUCUGAUUAACAAUUGAUCGUUAAUCCCAUACUACACAAACACAAAGUCCUAGAUAUAAUUAUAAUAACUGUAUUAACUAUUAAAUCCCUAUCCGUAAGUAGGGUUAGGGUUUUCAUCAGCUGCUUAACACAACUUCAUACAUAUUUCUUAGUCAAUAAAUAGUUUGACUAUCUUGCUAUGCUCAUAUCACAGUUACCCAACAUACUAUUGAUAAUUAAUACUAAUAAUAUUUUUAAAAAAAUUAUUCUUAAAAAAUAGAAUUGUUUAAAAUUCAGGGUCCUGACAUUCUCCCAUCCUUAUAAGGAUUCCAUCCCUGGAAUCACUAUUUCCUUAUAUUCAAUUUAUGUUUAUUAGUUCAUCUAUUCUUACUGAUCCCAAUUCAGAGCAAAAAAUAUGAAACCUCUAAGGUUUACCAUAGACCUUAUAAUCAUAUUUGCGUUUUAAUAUCUUUUAAAGUUGUAUCAUCAAUUCCUCUAUAUAAACACAAUACUAAUUUGUGAAUCAUAUAUUAACAUGUGACUCGGAUCCGUAAAUGGAAACAACUCACAGCGAUAUCUACCCAAUAAUAAGCACAUAAUUAUAUUACUGAACGAAAUCUUUACCUAUCAUGACCAUUGUGACACCCCCAAAUCCGGUAUUUCCAUUUCCACAGGAUUUGGUGUUCACUAUACAAACAUCAUUCAUCUAUCUACCCAUAAAUAAAUGCAAACCAUGCAAUAGAUAGAAAUAAUAAUAAAUCUCCCCUUAUGGGGUUACAUCAACUACGUAAUAAACAUAAUCCCAGGUUACUCUAACCUUAAACAUCUGUGCGGAAACAUAAACAAAUAAGUAACAUCAAUUCUAAUUAUCAUUACAUAACCACAUAAAUAAUCAAUCUUCAUUACUUGUUAAGAUUGCCCUUGUCUUUACUAGUGGAAGGUUCGUCUGCUCUUUCGUUCUUAACUGCACUGUUAUUAUUGCGCAAGAGUGAGCACGACUGCCCACAAGUAUAACAAUAUAAUAAUGAAAUAAUAACAUGCGAAUAAAUCAAAGACUUCUGAAAUAAAAGCUCAACUUUUGAAUCAAGAAUGAAUAACAAGAAUCAAAAGAUUUCUGAGGGUCAUAAGACCUUGAACUAUGUCCUAGGUUAUCAAGGGUUAUACUUGAAACCUUUAACAGUCAUAAGACUAUGGACCUUUCUACUCGUACUUAGGGGGAUCAUCCAUUAGUACCAUACUGUGCACAAUAUCUUAACGCUAACGCAUAAGUAAAUCCCUUUGCAGGGUUGUUCAUAUUAGUUUGACAUUCGAGUCCGAACCAAAGGAAGUUUGGUUUGGUUAAUUCAAUAAGGGUUCUGAAAUUUAGAACGUUCAUCAACUAUGGACUAGACGAAUCAAUAAGGUUCAGUUGUCUAACAAGGUUCAACAAUAAUGAUAUUCAAAUUGAAUAAUAAUCUCAAGAAGUAUACAAUAGAACAAAUAUUGUAUAACAAAUUCAUACUUUGAAAGGAUAAUAAAUAUUUAAUAUGACAAUUCGAACUUGAAUAAUAGUAAUGAGAAUUUACUCAAGGUAAAUAAUAAACUUGAACAAUGAUAACAAGUAGGGGUAGGAAACUUGCCUCGUGCGUAGAUUACACUUUAACUAAACUCGUUCUUUGAUUUAAAUCCUACAUAUCAAUUACGUUCACAAUACCAGUCAAUUACAACGUACUAAACAACAUAAGUUUAUUCUUUUGUCUAACUCGAAUUCAUGACUAUACUUAGUCAAUUACUACACUUAUUGUCAAAAAUUAAGACUUCACGAACAAUAAGUUAACUAUGCAUUCAAUUCACACGUAAUUGUGUUAUGGACGUGUUAAGAAUUUAUUUUAACACCUCAUUAUAUGUCUAAUAAAUUUUUAUAUUCAUUAGACUAAGUUACUAUCACAUUUCUAUACUUGAAUACUUAAAAAAAACAUUUUCUGGACAUUCUGCAUAGUGGCGCUGCGGCGCCACCUUUGUACUAAGCCUUCGCGCUGCGGCGCCGUGGCGCUGCAGCGUGGUCUUUGGCGCUGCGGCGCGGUGGCACUGCGGCGCGGUGGCGCUGCGGCGCUAGUCACAAGGCCUGGAGUCGGCGCCGCGGCGCGAGACUCCAGUUUCAGUUCUGCAAUUCGCGAAACAUUUAUAGAGUGAUUUUAACCCAAUAAAACACAUAAUCACAGAAUUAAAUUAUGCAAAUUGUACUAUUCUUGAUGUUCUUGAUGAUUUUGAACAUAAAUCAUGAAAUUUAAUACUACGGAUUCGUUAUAAGGCCAAAUCCAACCAUUCAAGUUUUGUUUUGUUCAUUUUAGCAUGCAUAAUAAUAUACAAGUAUAAAUUUUACAAAACCGUUUAUGGUUGACAUAUUAAAGUUACGUAUAAGGGACAUAUGGCCAUAUAACGUACUCUGUAAAUUUUGAAACAGCAAGUCACAGUAUUAUGAAACUUAUGAUAUGAAAUCAUAUACAAUAUAUAUAAAACAUGCUAUGCUACUCGAAUUAUUACAUAUAUUCACAUAAUUGUUACCCUUUUCAACUACAAAAAACUUUAAAGAAGACUUUAAUCCAUAUUCAUGAAAACUUUAAAAGACGUAAAAUAAGAAAUUAGGUUGGAGAGAAUUACCCAAGCGUAGUGUGAAUAAGGAUGACAAUUUGAAACGCUUCUCAAACUCUUCUAUCACACAACUCACACUCUCACUCAACAAUUUCUCAACUCUCUCUGUGAUGUUGUGCCAGACUUAGAAAAAUGAAAGAAAAGAAAAAGACGUAUGAUAAUAAAGGAGAAAACUGACGCGCGUUAUGUAGGUCAGUUACCCAUCAUGGGUUAACUGCUCCUAACUCCCAUUAGGGCUCCGUUUGGCUAGCUAGAAUAGAUUUCAAAAGCCAUUUAAUUUAAUAAACCUUAUCAUAAAGUUUGAAAAUGUCACACUCCUUAUAAAAUAAAUCCAAUAUUUUAUUUAAUUUACUUUAAAUAAAAUAUAAAAAUUUCUCAUAAAUUCACAUAGUCACAUAAUUAAAUUUCUCAUUAAUAAAUAAUGUCAAUUUAUUAACUCUCUAAUUAAUAAUUAAAUUAAUUAAAAUACCAAUAGGCUUAUUAAAUAUUUCUUUUAAUACCAUAAGCUCACAUAAUCACAUACUUCGAUAAUAAAAAUUCUCCACAUUAAUUUAAUAAAUGUAACACAUAAUUAAAUUACUCUACCACAAUUGCAUUAAUUAAUUAUUUAGUCUAAUAAUUAAAUCAUCGAAAAUAUUUAUUUACUUUAAUAAAUAUUAAAAUUAAAUUACAAAAAUCUCGUUCGUCACAUCUUUCCCCUCUUAAAAGGAUUCUGUCCCUAGAAUCACGACUCAAUAAAUUCAACCCGUUACAUUCUCCCCCCCCCUUACAAAGAUUCUGUCCCCAGAAUCGCUUACACAUGAAUUAAGUAAAUAAAUGAGGGUAAUUCUUCAUCAUAUUCUCUUCGAGUUCCCACGUAGCUUCUUCAGCGUUGUGGUUCCUCCAAAUUACCUUAAUAGAAGGUAUUACUUUAUUUCUGAGAACUUGUUCUUUUCGAUCGACAAUUUGAACAGGAAUUUCUUCUUAAGAUAAGACUUUAUCAAAAUGUAGGGGUUCGUAUUCAAUUACAUGCUUGUAAUAGGCUUUGUAGGGAUGUAAAACAGAAACAUGGAAGACGUUAUGGACAUUCUCAAGUGCUGGAGGUAGGGCUACCUCAUACGCAACUUCUCCAAUUCUUCUAAGUACUUCAAAUGGUCCAAUGAAUCUUGGGCUCAAUUUCCCUUUCUUUCCGAACCUGAUAUUUUCCUUCCAAGGAGUGACCUUCAAGAAAACAUAACUACCUGAUUCAAAUUUGAUAUUUUUACGAUGUGGAUCAGCGUAUUUCUUCUGUCGAUCUUGAGUUGCUACCAGUCGUGCUCGGAUCACUUUGACUAUUUCUGUUGUUUGAUGUACCAAAUCUGGCCCUAGCAAUUGUCUUUCACCAACUUCAUCCCAAUAAAGUGGAGUUCUGCACUUUUUGCCGUAUAACACUUCAUAAGGCGGCAUGCCUAUACUAGCGUGGUAACUGUUGUUGUAGCCGAACUCUACUAACGGUAGGUGAUCAUCCCAAUUUCCUUUAAAGUCCAUCACACAGGCUCUUAGCAUAUCUUCUAAUGUCUGAAUCGUUCUUUCGCUCUGUCCGUAUGUUUGAGGGUGGUAUGUUGUACUCAUUCACAAUUGCGUACCCAUGCAUUCCUGAAGACGUUUGCAGAAAUUCGAUGUAAAGUGCAGAUCUCUAUCAGAAACAAUUGACACCGGCACUCCUUGCCUCAAAAUAAUCUCUUUUACGUAUAGUCUCGCCAACUGAUCUAAGUUGAAUCUGAUUUUGAUCGAAAGGAAGUGUGCAGAUUUCGUCAGUCGAUCAACGAUAACCCAUACUGCGUCAUAGCCAUUCUGAGUCGUCGGAAGGCCAACCACGAAGUCCAUUAUAAUAUGUUCCCAUUUCCAUUCUUGGAUCUCUAACGGUUGUAGCGAUCCACUCGGUCUCUGAUGCUUUGCUUUUACUUUCUGACAGGUCAGACAUUUGACAACACACUCUGCAACAUCUCGUUUUAAAUUUGGCAACCAGAAAUGUUAUCGAAGAUCUUGGUACAUUUUGGUACUACCAGGGUGAAUCAAAUAUCGUGAGCUAUGAGCCUCGCUUAAAAUGUCUUCCUUAAUCUCUGUGAUUGGCGGUACCCAAACUCUAUUUUCAAAUCUUAGUAUUCCUUCCUUAUCCAGCUUGAAUCUUGGUUCAGUUCCUUCAGAUAUCUUCUUUGUCACCUUUUUGCAUUCAUCGUCCUGAAGUUGAGCCUCUUUAACUUAAUCUAGUAGGGUUGUACCAGAUUGGAUUUGAAAUAGCUUCUCAUCAAUCUCCAUAGGAUACUUCACUUCUAACUCUAGUUUCUCCAUUUCUAAAAUUAGCUCCUCCUGAGCAGUCAACAUCAUCAAUUUCUCACGACCCUUUCUACUUAAGGCGUCGACAACCACAUUUGCUUUACCCGGAUGGUAUAAAAUCUCACAGUCGUAAUCCUUAAUUAAGUCCAACCAUCUUCUUUGACCCAUAUUCAAAUCUUUCUGUGUGAAAAUAUAUUUCAGACUUUUGUGGUCCGUAUAUAUUUCACACUUCUCCCCGUAGAGAUAGUGCCUCCAAAUUUUCAAAGCAAAAACAACUGUAGCUAACUCCAAGUCAUGGGUCGGAUAUCCCUUCUCGUAAUCCUUCAAUUGUCGUGAUGCAUACGCAAUGACUUUGCCGUUUUGCAUCAGCACACAGCCAAGUCCUUUAUGCGACACAUCACUAUAAACAACAAAAUUUCCUGUAUCAUCCGAAAGAGAUAACACAGGCGCCGUACUCAACCUCUUCUUUAAUUCUUGAAAGCUUUCCUCACACUUCUCCGUCCAAACAAAUUUCACAGUUUUUCGAGUUAAAUUCGUUAGUGGAGUUGCGAUCUUUGAAAAGUCUUGAAUGAAUCUUCUAUAAUAUCCUUCCAAUCCAAGAAAACUUCUUACUUUCGACGGCGUUCUCAGCUGAUCCCAGUUAAUCACGGCUUUGACUUUUGAUGGAUCUACCGAAAUUCCAUUUUUAUCGAUCACGUGACCAAGAAAUUGUACUCGCUCGAUCCAAAAUUCACAUUUUAAAAACUUAGCAUACAACUUCUCCCUUCUCAAUACCUCCAACGUUAAUCUCAAAUGCUCUUCGUGUUCUUCCUUGGUUUUCGAAUAAAUCAAAAUGUCAUCUAUAAAUACCACUACGAACUUGUCCAAAAAUGGCUUGAAUAUACCAUUCAUUAGUCCCAUAAAUGUUGCAGGAGCAUUCGUAAGACCAAAUGACAUUACUAAAAAUUCGUAGUGACCAUAUCGUGUUCUGAACUCUGUCUUCAGUACAUCCUCUGGCCUCACCUUCAGUUGAUGAUAACCACUUCUUAAGUCUAUCUUGGAAAAGUAUCUCGCUCCCUUCAAUUGAUUAAACAGGUCAUCGAUCCUCAGUAAUAGAUAUCUGUUCUUAAUCAUGACCUUAUUCAGUUCUCUGUAGUCAAUGUAGAGCCGCAUCGAUCCGUCCUUCUUUUUCACAAAUAACAUCGGCGCUCCCCAUGGCGAGACGCUCAAUUGAAUGUACUUCUUGUCCAGUAAUUCUUGUAGUUGUACCAUUAAUUCUUUCAUCUCUACUGGUGCCAUUCGGUAUGGUGCCUUCGAUAUUGGAGCGGUUCCGAGCGCCAAAUCGAUCACGAAAUCUACCUCUCUAUCCGGUGGAAGUCCAGGCAAAUUGUUUAGAAAUACGUCGACGAAGUCCCUUACAAUCUGUAUUUCUUCUACCUUCGGAUUCUCUUUUCGACUAUCGACUAUGUAAGCUAAGUAUCCUACACAGCCUUAUCUUAAUAACUUCCUGGCCUGCAUCAUUAUCAGACAACUCGCUUGUCUAGGCGACUUGCUACCAUAAAACACUACCUUUGACGGAGUCAUAAGGUUAAUACGCUUUUUUUUGCAAUUAAUUACAGCCCCGUAAUUGAAUAACCAAUCCAUUCCCAAUAUAACGUCGAAUUCCCCAAGUCGAAUAGGGAUAAGAUCUACGCUCAUUAUAUUACCCUUAAUAUCCACUCUACAGUUCUUAUGUACGUACUUAACAGGGAUUAUUUCUCUAUUCGCAAUUUCUAUGUUAAUGGGGUAAUCCAAUUCAUCCCUAGGCAAAUCUAAAUUCUUAGCAAAGUCAUCAGAUAUAAAGGAACAAGUAGCACCCGAAUCAAAUAAAAUAUAAGCAUUAAUUUUAUUAAUCGGAAUGAUACCUGACACCACAUCUCGAGACUGAACUGCAUCCUGCACCGUUAUGUUGAAAGUCCUGGCGGUCGGUCGGUUUGUAGCGGUUGGUCCGGUGAUAGUUAUGGCAUUUCCACUGUUGUUUCCCCGGUUUCCUCCUGAUCCUGACCCUCUCGAUCCCUUCUUAGGACAGUCUCUUGCCAAAUGAUCCUUUGAACCACAGGUGAAGUAGGCACCCUUCUUUGGGACAGUUAGGUGCUAUGUGGCCUUCCUGACCACAAUUGUGGCACACUCUUUUUCCCUUCAUACAAACUCCCAGAUGAGCUUUCCCGCAGGUCGGGCAUGCUUCGAUUCUUUUCUUCUAACUUCCUUGUUGAUUCCUCGAUGAUGAGUUUUCAUUCCACCUUUUCUUCUGAUUAAAAUUACCACCUCUUGUGCCACUUCCACUAGACUUGUUAUUUACUUCACCUUCGCUCUUCUACUUCUUCUUCUUCUGAUCUUGAUUGUAUUUGGUCACCGCAUCGCUUCCACCUUCAGUGAGGAUGGCCUUUUCCAGUACUCCGGCAAAAGUGUUUAUCUGAAAUAUUGAUACUUUACUGUAUACCCAAGGCUUUAGUCCUUGUUCGAAUCUUCUGGCUUUUCUCUCGUCCGUGUGUACUUGAUACGGGGCAAACCUCGCUAAUUCGUUGAAUCUAGCCGCAUAAUCAGGUACGCUCAUAUUUCCCAGCUUCAAUUCCAAAAAUUGAACUUCCAUCUGGUUCUGUGAGCUGGUUGGGAAGUACAUCUCGAAAAACAUCUCUUUAAAUCUCUCCCAAGUAAUUACACCUUCACCCCCUCAAACUUUUUUUGCUUGCCUCCAAUAGCUAGCUUCAGACUUCAGCAUAAAUGUUGCAAAAGCGGUCUUCUGGUCUUUUCUAACCCUAGCUACGUUGAAAACCUUCUCCAUUUCCAUAACCCACAUUUGAGCCUCGAUCGGGUUCAUGGAACCUUUAAACUCUGGCGGUCCCACCGCCUUAAAAUCUUUAAAUGUAGUAUUUGGUGGAGCUUGAGGUUGAUUAUUCAUUGCUCCAACUAGCAAGUUAACCAAUUGUUGAACAGGAUUAGCAUUGGCGUUAUUGUUGUUAUUCGUAGACUCUUCCUGAGCCGGUUGACGUUGUUGUCUUCUUAUUGGCGGCAUAAUUCUGUUAAGAAUAUUCGCUUAUUAGGUCUUUAUUCAAUUCUUCAAACAUUUAAGGCUUAGCAAGAACAUUUAAUCAUAAUUCACUUAACAUAUCAAUUUAAAUAAACUUUGACAUUUCAUUCAAUUCAAAAGUUUUAAUAUCAUAAAAUAGCAUCACUGCUAUUUACAUCAACUAUCCCGAGAUAAAGAAUCUACAGGAUUUAAAAUAUCAAAAUAUUCCUUUGUUUAUAAUCACAUCGGAAUUUACAUCAUUAACUACCAAAUAGUUUUCACAUAAUAUUAAACUAAUACUAUCACUGUCUAUCAAGGCGCUGAAUAGCCUUUCUACGCUCCUCUUCCAUGAUACGAGACAUCGUCCUGCGAUCCAGCAUGUACGAUGGAAGUCCUUCGAACUGGAUGGGGUACCUCAAAACUCGAUUCUCGGCCUCAUCCAUUGCAUGAUUAAGUGUAGAGUACGUCUCUCCAAGCUUUGCCUUCUUUGCACGACCAUCCUCUUCCACAAUAUCAGCACGACAUGGCUCUCUUACCCAGCCCUCCUCUGCUAUGGCAAGCCUCUCUGAACUCUCUUUCAGAUCUUUCUUCAACUUUUCUAUUUCUGCAGACUUAUCUUCGGUUUGACCCUUCUCAUGGACCAAAUCCCAUUCUACAUUUCCCAGUCGUGAGUGAAGAGUUGAAAUCUCCCUCUCCUUCUGCUCUAGAGUAAUCUGCUAAAUAAUAGCUCGAUCAGUCAGAUCCUGCACCUCAUCUCGUAACUCCACGUUACGGUCGUAUAAUGUGUCGUACAUCUCAGCAUCAAUAGAGUGAUGUGGAAACUCCUCUUCUUCCUCUUCCUCGUCAAAUUCCUCCUCAAGAUCCACCUCAGGAUCAGUCUCAGGUUCAUGCUCCUGACCAACAAUGGUGAUCAAUGGAGAUGACUCCCUCUGUACCAACUGUUCCCUAAUGACAUGAAUGUCUCGGGGUUACUCCUCUGUAGGUAUUGUAGGUACUCGGGGUUCCUCCUCCCCUGCUCGACUAGUUCCUCCAACGUCAAACAUCUUGACAACCAAAAUUUCAAGUUUUAGUUACUAAGUCGUACUAGUGAGCACAUAAUUUAACACAUAAGCACAUAAAGUGUUUUAUUAUCUUCAAUGAAUUACAAAAAUUUAUUUCCUAGAACUCGAUAAGAGUUUUCCAUCACUAUGUUCUUUCUAUAAGGCUACUACCUAAGGUUGUUCCCCCACCUAAGGUUCAUAACCUACAGCUUUGAUACCAACUUGUGACACCCCCAAAUCUAUUACUUCCAUUUCCACAGGAUUUGGUGUUCACUAUACAAACAUCAUUCAUCUAUCUACCCAUAAAUAAAUGCAAACCAUGAAAUAGAUAUAAAUAAUAAUAAAUCUCCCCUUAUGGGGUUACAUCAACUACGUAAUAAACAUAAUCCCAGGUUACUCUAACCUUAAACAUCUGUGCGGAAACAUAAACAAAUAAGUAACAUCAAUUCUAAUUAUCAUUACAUAACCACAUAAAUAAUCAAUCUUCAUUACUUGCUAAGCCUGCCCUUGCCUUUACUAUUGGAAGGUUCGUCUGCUCUUUCGUUCUUAACUGCACUAUUAUUAUUACGCAAGAGUGAGCAUGAUUGCCCACAAGUAUAACAAUAUAAUAAUGAAAUAAUAACAUGCGAAUAAAUCGAAGACUUUUGAAAUAAAAGCUCACAUUUUGAAUCAAGAAUGAAUAAGAAGAAUCAAAAGAUUUCUGAGGGUCAUAAGACCUUGAACUAUGUCCUAGGUUAUCAAGGGUUAUACUUGAAACCUUUAACAGUCAUAAGACUAUGGACCUUUCUACUCGUACUUAGGGGGAUCAGCCCUUAGUACCAUACUGUGCAUAAGUAAAUCCUUUUGCAGGGUUGUUCAUCUCAGUUUGACAUUCGAGUCUGCACCAAAGGAAGUUUGGUUUGGUUAAUUCAAUAAGGGUUGUGAAAUUUAGAACGUUCGUCAACUAUAGACUAGUCGAAUCAAUAAGGUUCACUAGUCUAACAAGGUUCAACAAUAAUGAUAUUCAAAUUGAAUAAUAAUCUCAAGAAGUAUACAAUAGAACAAAUAUUGUAUAACAAAUUAAUACUUUGAAAGGAUAAUAAAUCUUUAAUAUGACAAUUCGAACUUGAAUAAUAGUAAUGAGAAUUUACUCAAGGUAAAUAAUAAACUUGAACAAUGAUAACAAGUAGGGGUAGAAAACUUGCCUCGUGCGUAGAUUACACUUUAACUAAACUCUUUCUUUGAUUUAAAUCAUACAUAUCAAUUACAUUCACAAUACCAGUCAAUUACAACGUACUAAACAACAUAAGUUUAUUCUUUUGCCUAACUCGAAUUCAUGACUAUACUUAGUCAAUUACUAUACUUAUUGUCCAAAAUUAAGACUUCACAAACAAUAAGUUAACUAUGCAUUCAAUCAUUCAAUUCACAUAUAAUUGUGUUAUGGACGUGUUAAGAAUUUAUUUUAACACCUCAUUAUAUGUCUAGAAAAUUUUUAUAUUCAUUAGACUAAGUUACUAUCACAUUUCUAUACUUGAAUACUUAAUAAAAACAUUUUCUGGACAUUCUGCAAAGAGGCGCUGUGGCGCCACCUUUGUACUAAGCCUUUGCGCUGCGGCGCCGUGGCGCAGCGACUUGGUCUUUGGCGCUGCGGCGCGGUGGCGCUGCAGCGCGAGUCACAAGGCCUAGAGUCAGCGCCGCGGCGCGAGACUCCAGUUUCAGUUCUGCAAUUCGCGAAAAUUGCAGAACAUGGCCAAUGAACUCCAAUAAAAUUAUUACUACACGAAUUUAAUCAUACCCACAUGUUAGAAUUCAUAUAUAAUCAAUACCCAACAUUUAUAGAGUAAUUUUAACCCAAUAAAACACAUAAUCACAUAAUUAAAUUAUGCAAAUUGUACUGUUCUUGAUGUUCUUGAAGGUUUUGAACAUAAAUCAUGAAAUUUAAUACUACGGAUUCGUUAUAAGGCCAAAUCCGACCAUUCAAGUUUUGUUUUGUUCGUUUUAGCAUGCAUAAUCAUAUACAAGUAUAAAUUUUACAAAACCGUUUAUGGUUGACAUAUUAAAGUUACGUAUAAGGGCCAUAUGGCCAUAUAACGUACUCUGUAAAUUUUGAAACAGCAAGUCACAAUAUUAUAAAACUUAUGAUAUUGAAUCAUAUACAAUAUAUAUAAAACAUGCUAUGCUACUCCAAUUAUUACACAUAUUCACAUAAUUGUUACCCUUUCCAACUACAAAAAACUUUACAGAAGACUUAAAGCCAUAUUCAUGAAAACUUUAAAAGACGUAAAAUAAGAAUUGGGUUGGAGAGAAUUACCCAAGCGUAGUGUGAAUAAGGAUGACAAUUUGAAACUCUUCUCAAACUCUUCAAUCACACAACUCACACUCUCACUCAACAAUUUCUCAACUCUCUCUGUGAUGUUAUGCCAGACUUAGAAAAAUGAAAGAAAAGAAAAAAGCGUAUGAUAAUAAAGGAGAAAACUGACGCGCGUUAUGGAGGUCAGUUACCCAUCAUGGGUUAACUGCUCAUAACUCCCAUUAGGGCUCCGUUUGGCUAGCUAGAAUAGAUUUCAAAAGCCAUUUAAUUUAAUAAACCUUAUCAUAUAGUUUAAAAUGUCACACUCCUUAUAAAAUAAAUCCAAUAUUUUAUUUAAUUUACUUUAAAUAAAAUAUAAUAAUUUCUCAUAAAUUCACAGAGUCAAAUUAUUAAAUUUCUCAUUAAUAAAUAAUGUCAAUUUAUUAACUCUCUAAUUAAUAAUUAAAUUAAUUAAAAUACCAAUAGGCUUAUUAAAUAUAUCUUUUAAUACCAUAAGCUCACAUAAUCACAUACUUCGAUAAUAAAAUUCUUCACAUUAAUUUAAUAAAUGUAACACAUAUAAUUAAAUUAAUCUACCACAAUUGCAUCAAUUGAUUAUUUAAUCUAAUAAUUAAAUCAUCGAAAAUAUUUAUUUACUUCAAUAAAUAUUAAAAUUAAAUUACAAAAAUCUCGUUCGUCACAACAAUACCAUGCAGUCUUACAAUCUCGUUGCACCUCCUGUGCAGCCACUACGUCUUGAACUGUCAUGUAUAAAAGUUUGUGUCGUUAGUCUUCCCGGCUGAGCAGGUCCUUUUAUUGUCAGUGUUCCACUGUUGGUUCCUUUGUUAAUGUUUCCCUUAUACGCAUUCUUCUUUGGGCAGUUCCGAAUAUGAUGAUCUAACGAUCCACAAAAGAAACAACCUCGUAUCUUCUUUGGAUUGGGACAAUUGGGAGAAAUGUGUCCCUCUUGGCCACAGUUAAAACAUACUCAUUUUCCCUUCAAAUAAACUUUAUGAUGGUUCUUCCCACAAACCGCACACAUCUCACCUCUCUUCCUACUCUCUCCUGACUUAUUUCCCGAUUGGGCAUUAUCACUCCACUUCCACUUAUUGGGUUUACUCCCACCACUACUUCCUCCUUCAUUCGUCUACUUCUUCUUCUCCUGAUGGUACUUGGAUGCAACUUCACUUUCUCCUUCCGCAAUGAUUACUUUUUCCAACAAAGUCGUAAAUGUAUUGAUCUGCAACACGGCUACGUUAUUAAAUAUCCCUAGCUUCAGUCCAUUCUCAACAAUAACAGUCAUAAUAAUAAUAGUACUAAUAAUAAUAAUAACAAUAACACUAACAAUUAUAAUAGUAGUACUAAUAAUAAUAAUAAUAAUAAUAAUAAUAAUAAUAAUAGUAAUAAUAAUAAUAAUAAUAAUAACAAUAAAACAAUAAUAAUAAUAACAAAUAUUAAUGUUAUUAUUAUUAUUAUUAAUUAUUAUUAUUAUUAUUAUUAUUAUUAUUAUUGUUGUUGUUGUUGUUGUUAUUAUUAUUAUUAUUAGUACUAUUAUUAUUAUUAUGACUGUUAUUAUUAUUAUUAUUAUUAGUACACUUCAUUUUUCAAAUUCUCUUUUUUCUUGACUUGUAAAUUUUUUAAUAAUCAAAUAUUAAUUUCUCUUUAUAUCUUAAAUUAGAGGGUGUUUGGCAAUGACUUAUAAGUUGGUCAAACUAAGUUAUAAGUCAUUUGUUAUUAUUUAAUGUUUGAAAAUAACUUACAUUUUAACUUUUUUUUGACUUAUAAGUCAUUAUUAAAAAAAAUUCAUGCUUCAUGUGCUAUAUUUUUUAUGUAUUAGAUAAAUUUUACUACUAUAUAUAUAUAUGUACACACAUAUUCAUAUAAAUAUUUAUAAAUUUAUCUCUAAAUAUUCAUAUAAAUAUUUAUAAAAAAAUAUUCAUAUCUAAAUUUUAUAAAUUUUAGAUGAAAUAUUUAUAAUUUUAUAAAUAAAUAUUUGUUUAUAAAUUUUAAAGAUAAAUUUAUAUGAAUAUUUGUUUUUAAAUAUUUAAAUGAAUCUUUAGAGAUAAAUUUAUAUAUAUAUAUAUAUAUAUAUAUAUUAAAAUAUUCAUAGUUACGUUAUAUAAAUAUUCAUAGUUACUAUAUAUAUAUUUAGUUUAAUGUGGAGAUUUAAGAUGGGUAUAUAUAUAGAUGGUAAUAGAAUUUAUCUAAUACACAAAAAAUAUAACAUAAGAAGCAAAAAUAUCAUAACUAGGUUUUGAACCUAAGACCUAUGGGUUAUUGGGCCAUUAAGCUACCACUGAGCCAUUCUAAUUUAUUAGUUAACUAAACUACCGCCAUAACUUGUAGCGGUAGACAGUGUAGCACAUGAGCAAAUGAGGGGCAAAUGAGUAAUUUCUCAUGUCGCUACAGCCUGUAGCGGCAGGGGAAAAUUCAUUUUAAUCCGUAUCAUCCGAUGUUGCGAUCAACAGUAUAGAUUAUGGUUGCUGAAAUAUUACCCGUGAAAACUGAUUGCUAAGCACGUUAGUUCCGGGCCUCCGACCCAAAUAAAUCCAACCUCAUCAAACCUGAUUAUUAUAUCUAUGCUUCCCAAUAUUUCCUAUUUCUAGAUAGAAGUGGGAUAUACUUAGAAGUAUUCCUUCACUCCGAGAAUGAAAGUGAUGAUUGAUUUUAUGCGAAUUUAAAAAAAUGUCAAAUGAUAAAAUUAUUCAUAUUUAAUUCUCAUCUAAUUGCAUAUUUUUUAUACAUGACUAGUGAUAUUAUAUAAAUAUUUAUAAAUAAUAAAAAUAUGACAUUUAAUACUAAGUAUAUUACGCACAAAUUAUUGUAAAAAAAAUAGAUUAUUCAAUAUAAGUAAAUAUUUAACUUGAGAUUACAUAAAAUAAUAAGAACUUUUAUUCUUAGACAAAGAGAGUAACUUAAAUCAUGAACAUAUUUUUAAGUCCAAAAAUAAAACAUAAAAAGAAUAAUAGUAAUGAUAUACCCCUAGCUAUUCCUAGUUCUCCUUUUACCUUUUUUCCAAAUAUAUUAUAAAUUAAAUUAUAAUACUAUCAGUUCUAAGAGAAAACAUAAAAGAUGAAGAAAAAUUUAUUAUGUUUUAUGAACUAAAAUAGAAUAAAGUUAUUUAAAAUGACUUAUAAGUCAUUCCUAAUAAGUUAGUUUGACCCAUAUUAAUGUAAUAUCAAUUUUAUCCCUAUUUAAUUUAAUUUUUUAAAAAAAUGAAUUUGUAAAAAAAAAAGAGUAAGAUGAGACGUCACUUUAAUUGGCGUAAGAAUUUUUAUUUUUAUUUUUUUAUAGCUGAAGUCUAAUAUACUCCUUCAUUUCUAACGCCGAUGACAGAGAAUAAAUAUAAAAAAAUAUUGAUGUUUGUAAACAAGUACAAGAGAUCAAAAAAAUUAAAAAAAAAAAGAGAUUCCAACGUCAGUUAAAGUGAUGUUACAUCUUACUAUUCUUUUUUACAAAUUUGCUUUAUAAAAAAAUUAAAAAAAAGUUAUAAUGCCGGUUAGUUUGACAUUGGAUCACAUUUUUAUUUUUUUCAAAUUUCUUUAAAAAAAUAAAAUCGUUUUAAAAAUAUUUAAGAUAAUUUUUUUUAAAUUCGUUUUUAAAUAAAAAUAUUUUUUAAAGUAACGUUGGUUGCCUUUCUGAUUAUUAGCCAAAACAAAAUCCAUAAAUUCAACGCCAUUUUAAACAGCGUUUAGUAAUUUUUCCCAAAUUAGAUGUGAGAGCCUUUACUCCCAACAACAGUGGUUGAAAUUUUUAUUUUUUUAAAAAUAUUUGUUUUAAAAUAAUUUUUUUUUAAAAAAAAAAUUAAAGUACACUUUUACGUUGCAUCUUUGAGAAUCUAAAUUUACCUUUCUAAAUAUAAUCAAAGCAAAUGUUCAUCACUUAGUAUUAUAAUGGUGACUUGACAACUAAAUUGAAGUAUUGUCUUAUUGAUGCUAGUGCUAUAUUUCAGUCACGUAUUUGGGCCACACCAGUAGAUGAUCUUCUUGUUCUUAAUGUCAUAUUUCUUGAUUAAUUAUACUAGAUUAAAGAACUGAGGACCUUUUCUCUUUAUAGUAAUGUAUGGGAUCCUUUUUUCCUUUUCAAAGAUUUUAUGCACUGUAUGAUAUAUAGAGUGACCUGAGAACUUCAUUUAUACUUCAGCUAGCGUAACUUUUCCCCUUACUACAAAUGGGUGUUAGCCUAGUUGCUAGAAAAAAGGGGAACUUCAAAAUAGUGAACUUUUCCACUGCAUCAUAGUUAUAACUUCACUAUUUUUUUAUAAAAAAAAAUCUGAUCGUGCGUAACUUCUUUUGCAGCCGGAUAUCAGGGCAUUGGAUUCAGCCACCACCUCCAGCAGAUGAGAUAUGGGCAUCUUACAUGGUGAAACAUAAAAUGAUAUCUAUCAAUUGCAGACUUUCACUUCUUAGGCACAUGAGUUGGGGUAUGUCGUGUUUGUAUAUAUUGACAACUUCCCUUGAUUAGACACUUUCUUGGUCCACUAGCUCACUUUUGAAAACCUCAGACUCAAUUUCUUUUCAAUGAAUGUCGAAUUAAAUCAAGCAAGAUUCAUCUCUCUCAACAAUACUCUUUUCAGUUUCUUUUGGACUAUUUUUUGGCUCUAUUCAUUACAGGGCAUGCGCCAUGGCUCAUACGAUAAAUUGGAUGAUGAUGGUCUUGCUCUUCCGGUGAGUAUAUGCGUCUUAGUUUCACUAUCAUCUUCUUUCCUGCUUAGCUGGAUUACAUUUUCGCAAACUUAUCCUCCUUUGUUUACUAGGGAACUAGAGUUUUUGGUGAGGAUGUUAUCAUUGGGAAGACCACUCCCAUUGCUCAGGAUGAUGCUCAGGGACAAGCUGCUUCAAGGUACAAGCGUUGUGAUCACAUCCAUGUGAUUGGAUAAUGGGAUUGGGCAAAUUUUCUGGAGGGAAUACUAUAGUCAUGGGUAUUAAACUCCAAAUUGGAGGAAAGUCUUUGGGGCUUCCAUUUUCUUUGAGUCUCUUCCUUAUAAGGUGAACCCACAAACUGGAUAUAUAUGUUUGCCCCGGUCAUUGGUGGAAUAUUCAGCUUUAAUCUGAAAUUUUAAAAUAAUAACCUUUGAUGUUGGUUUCAGGUCUUUUCCCUGCUCUCAUUUUUUCUACAUUAUUCCUUAUUUAUUUUUUGUCAUAUCUUAGUCGCCAAUGUCUUACGAUUUUGUUUGUAAAGUUUUGUCUGUUGGUUAUAAUUGGGCAACAAUAUCUUGUACUUAAUCACUACUGAUUUACAGGACUCGACAUUUGCUGAUAUGGAAGGAGAUGAAACAUUUGAUUCAUCCCUACUUGGAUAUACAGAUGAAGUGGUGGAGGAGCGCAUUGCUGAUGAUGAGGUUGUUUUGCUCAAAGGGACCAAAAACUCAAGUGCAGUAUGUGUCCUAUGUGUUCAACUAUUAUCUUUUAUUUGCGUAAUCGUUCUAAGAUGUCACAUUUCUUACAAGUGUAAUUAUCAUCAAAUUCUCGCGGGUGUGUGCCUUUUUAGGUCUCACUGAUACUCAAAGGUGCAAACGAUUAUAUGCUUGAUAAGAUGGAUAGUGUAGAGCCCCCAAAUCCGGGUACUUGAAACCCAAACUCGGUGCUUUAUAAUACCAUUUCUAUGAGCGGAAUAAUACUAAUAAUAAUAACAAUAAUAUAAAGAUCAACUUAAUUUACAUAUUAUCAGAGUCUGAAUCCCAAGUACGUAACCUUUAAACGUUUAUUACAACCCAUGAUAGAUAAUUAAUAUCAUUGUCUUACUAAGGAUAAACUAUUACAUAAAAUAGCACCAACUUAUUCUGCAAUCUUUCCCUUUCCCUUGUUCUUAGCAGAGCUCUCUGGUCGUUCGCACUUAGCUGAAAAUAUUUAAAUUUAAGCAAGGAUGAGCAUUUGAGUGCCCAGCAAGUAAUAACAAUUAUAUAUAUAAGCUGAAAGAAUUUAAAUGUUUUCUUUAUACUACCCUUCUACAACGAUUCAAUAGCUGUGAAGUAAUCUGUACCAAUGAUAAUAAUAUAUCAAUUCUAUACCAAAUCUUUGAAACUACGUACUGACUAUAAAUAGGGUUUAUGUGACAUGCUAUGAACAUUAUUUUCAAUUUCGAAAAGGUAAACAGAAAUUCAUCUGCAAACUGUCAUAACUUACGGGCACGGGGGGUGAUCAGCCCGUUAUGACCUGCAUUGAUCAACACUACAUGCAAGAACGAGGGUAUCAUUCACUCUGUCCGCCUUGGGCGCAUAAAAGUUUUCCCGUGUAGGGAUGUUCAUACUUGUCUGGGUUCCAAAUCAAAGGUUUUAUCUUGUUCAACAAUAAUCUAUAAUUCAACAUAUAUGUAUACGGGUAAUUGACAAAGGUAUAUCAACAUGUGAUUAAAUACAAUGAUUAUCCAAGUGGGGACACUUGUAUAACCAUUUAUAGAAAUUAACGAACAGAAUAUAUAUCUGAAUUAUCAUAUACUAACAUGUUGAUAAUCAAUGAGCGUAUAUAAUAUAGGGUUAAUAAUCUGUACAGUAAUAAUAUAAUUUAGAAACAUUCUUACUCAUGUCCAUUGCAUAAAGAAAAUGCAAAGGUAAGAUACUUGCCUGAUGCGCUGCUUACAGUUCGCAACUUAGUUUUAUCGUUUAUAUCACGACCUAUCAUUAAUCAGAUCAUUCGUUCGAUUAGAACAAUAUACUAUAACACAUAGUACUGCAUUUCGCAGUCAGCACAUAACCUAAUCACAUUAUUACCCAUGUUUAACAACCAUUGAAUCACAAAUAAUCACAUAUCUAAUUAAAUUAUCUAAGUCCAGAUCAAUUUUUGAAACAUGUCGGUGUAUCGACAGCUUUAUCGGAUAAUUAUCGAGUCUAAGACUCUAUUCCGUAACUCAAUAUCUAUAAAUAUCAGUCAUAUUAUUUUUAAAUGACUUAUAAUAAUUUUAAAACAUUUAUUAUAAUUUAUCAUGAAUUUUCAAACAUCGGAAUCAUUAUUAAAUGAUUUAAAUAUUAAACAAUCCUAUUAUCAUUAAUAUUUAAUUAAUAUUAAACUAUUAAUGAAAUUAUUUCCAAAAUAUUAAAGUUAUUUAUAAUAACUUAAAAUACUUUUAAAGUAUUAAUAUUACCCUUAAAUGAUUUUUAAAACAUUUAAACUCAUUUUUAAAUAAUUACCAUUAAUAUUAAAGUAUUAAUGUUCUAUUUAUCAAAAUAUUAAAAGUCUUUAAUCAUUAAUUAAAUAUUUUUAAUUCAUUUAUAUCCUUUUUAAAUGAUUUUAAAUUAAUAAAACCAUAUUUAAACUAUUUAUUUAAUAUAAUUAUUAAAUAAAUUUAAUAUCAUUAAUAAUAAAUUAAUAAUUAUUAAUAUUAAAGUAUUAAUGAACUUAUCCUUUAAAUAUUAAAAGUUAUAUUUUAUAACUUAAAAUAUCUUUAAACACUUUAUUUUCAUUUAAAAUGAUUAUUAUAAUAUUAAAAUCAUUUUUAAACUAAAUUAUUUAAUAUAAUUAUUAAAUAACUUUAAUAUCAUUAAUAAUUAAUUAAUUAAUGAAAUUUACAUUUAAAUAUUAAAAUUUAUAUUUUUAAAUACCUUAUUAUUAUUUAAAAUGAUUUUUAAUAUAAUAAAAUCAUUUUUAAUUAAUUUAUUUAAUUCAUUUAGUAAAUAACUUAAUAUUCAUUAAUAUUAAUUUAUUAAUGAAAUUUAUCACAAAAUAUUAAAAGUCAUUAAAAAUAACUUAAAAAUAUUUUCUUAUAUCAUAAUAUAAUUUUAAAUGAUUUUUCAAAUAUAAAAAUCAUUUUAAAUGAUUUAUUUAAUAUAAUAAUUAAAUAAAUUAAAUACUUUUAAUAUUUCAAAAAUAUUAAAUAUUUAUGAAAUAUAUUAAAAAUAAUUAAAAACUAAUUUUCAGAAUUUAAAAUAAUUUUUAAUAAUUUAUUUUGUAAUUUUAAUAAUUAAAAACUAUUUUUUUCUAUUUAUUGAAUUAAAUUAAUUAAUUUUUGGAAAUUAAAUUAAUUUAAUUAUUUUGUCUGUCGCUAAAGACCACCUAUAGUGACAAAACUGUCGCUAUAGAGGUUCUUCAUGUUCUUCAUGCAAACCCAGAUAUUCAUACUCAGUUUCGAGGGUGCUACUUUGACCAUACAUUAUGAACUGUGUAGUGUGUUUCUGGGAUAGAUAUUGAUCACAUAUUGUAGUGUUAGUGUAGAACUACAAGGGUCAUAUUACAACAUACAAGCAAGAUAUGGAAGCUUAAAUUAUCCGUCAGACCUGUUCUUCGUUUUCUGGGUUACCCAGAAAACAAGAACAACUCGACUGAUCACUUUUGGGCUUCCACAACUUGCUUUUGGUGUUAUGUUUUUGUGAUAUAUAAGCUGCAGUGUGUAGUCAGUAUGUACAUAAAGAGAUCUAACAUAAAAUAUCAACAAAACAUCAACAGAAGCAAUAGAUCUGGACCGGUCAAUGUAUGUCAGAAACUGUGUUCAUAGGUUUUCUGGGUUACCCAGAAAACUGGACCCGUGCUCAAGAUACCAACUUUGACCAGCCACUAAGAUCGAUUCGUUUAUUUUUAAGGUGCUUUUAAGGCAUAAACAUGGACUUAAAAUACAAGACUACAAUCUAGAUUCAACAAAAUCAACAAAACAAAAAUACACUGAAUGAUCUAGCUGGUUUAAAAUGUUGUCAGGCCGGUUCUGGGCUGUUUCAGGGUUACCCAGAAACGCCCGGUCAUGGCCGGUCAACUACGUUUGACCUUGAAUAUCUUGCAAUCUAGAUCAGAUCUAAGUCUGAUUCUUGCUCCAGAUCAAAGACUACAUGUCAGACUACAUAUUUAAACCUUUAAACAACAAAAAUCAUAUAUGAACAAUGAUAUGUGGCCACUGACAUUAGUUGUCAGACCACAGUUUGAACUUUUUCCAGAUUUGGCAAAUCUUAAAAUCCGAGCCUCUAGAUGUUAUGGAUCUAACAUCUAGCAACCCAGAUCAUCAUUAGACACCUUAUAUAACAUGUUUAACAAAAAAAAAAUUAACAUCAAACAACAAAUCGUUGGACAGAUUUCUUGGCUAGGGUUUAUACCUUCUUUGAUCAAUUCUGAUUUUGGCUUCUGUUUUUGUUAUGGUUGUUCGUGGAACUUGGUUCUUGACUGAUAUUAUGAAAUAAUUUCCGAGGUUUGGGGCUUGAGAGAAAAGGUUUGAGUGUUGGACAAAAAUAAGUGAACAAAUGACACUUUCUCUCUCUCAAAUCUAUUUAUAGUAGUGCUAGAUACAUGUAAUGGCUGAGAUAGAGACUUGUUGCUGUCAUUUUUAAGCACAUGGGGUGGUUGAAGUGGUUCACCAACUAAACCUAAUGUCAAAACCUAUAUAUUAGCCUCAAUAAUGCAAGGGGUAUAAUGGUCUUUUGUAUUUUCCAUUUGAUGGCAUUCUUGUCAUUUGGCAAACCCUUAGGGUUUGACCCUUAGGAUUUAACCCUAAGGUUUAGCACAAAUCAAUAAUAGGAUUUAGCAAUUAGGGUUUGCACAAAAUAAAAUUAAAUAAAAAUUAAAUAACUUCUAGUUUCUAAAAUUUGAAAUUAGGGUUUCAUAAUUAUGAUUAAUUUUCUAAUUACUUUAUACAGGAAUAUUAGGGUUUAAAAUCGCUAAUUAUAAUUAACUUUGCUACUUUAGGAAUUAGAGUUUAAAAUUAGUAAUUAGUUUAUAUAAUUUCUAAUUAGGGAUACUAAUUUUAGAAAUUAGGGUUUCUAGAAAUUAAUAUCUCUAAAUUUUAAUUAGGGUUAACCUAAUUAAUCAUGAAAUCACAUAACACAAUUAUAUAAUAAACUCGAACUCAUGAUUGAGUUUUAAGUUAGGGUUUUCUCAUUUCAAAAAUUAGGGUUUUCGAAAUAUUAAUUAGGGUUUCUAGAUUUUUUAUUAGGGUUUACCUAAUUAAUACAUUUAAUACACGACAUAAAUUAUAUAACACACUUAUAAAACAAUCUUGUACUCUAAUUUGGAUCUCAAAUUAGGGUUUAACAUUAUUACUAGGGUUUGGUCAUAAUACACCGUAAUUGACCAACCAUUAUCAAUACGGACAUACAGUACAUAUUCAUAGCACUGAAAAAUCAAAAUAUAAUUAAUAUUAUAUUAUUAUUCUCAUACCUUGACAAUAAUCCAAAAUUAGGGUUUGGAUUCCAUAUCUGAUUUAUUCUUCAUAUUUAACCUUAAUAAUUAAGGUAAAAUAAUUAACUUAAUAAUUUGUACUAAAAUUCAUAUAAUAAAAUAAUUAUUAUAAUUAUUCUAAAAAUCACUUCAUAUAUUAUUUAAAUAAUAUAUGAUUAUAUUUUUAUGGAAAAUAAUUAAUAAAAACAUUUCUAUCUUAAAAUUAAUCAAUAAUUCUAAAAUAUACUUUAUAAUAAUCAAUAAUUCUAAAAUAAAUUUAUUUGUAAAUAUUUAUGUAAUAAAUAUAUUUUUAUUUACCACAUAAAUACAUAUACACAUUAUCUUGUACAAAUCCUCAUCCUUAAAAUAUAUAAAAAAAAUUAUACGCAAAAUUUCUUAUUUAUUUAAAUAGAAAAUAUCGGGUUGUUACAGAUAGGGCUUUGCAUGAUGCUCUAUGUAUAGUUAAGAGGACCCUGGAAUCGAAUACGGUAAAUCGUAGCCUCAUUUGUCUUUUUAGUUUUUAUCAAAUAUUACAUCCUUCUGGAAUUAAUAGUCCUAAUUUGUUAGCUACUUAUAUGUUGGUUCUACUUAUUUGCUUCCUCCGCUCCCCUCCCUCGAGUAUUAAGAUUUUCAUAUGUCACACUUUGACAUAGUUUUUUUUAAUAAAUUUUAGUCUUUGAAGAUAAAAGAUUAAAAAAAAUUCAUCUAUGUCUAAGUGUUCUAAUACAAGCUUUAAUAUUUAAAUAAGUAAAGGAGAACUCUUUUGAAAACAAGGAACAUUUUACAUUGUAAUACAUGUUGGUAGUUGUUUCUUACUUUGAUCUGGGCAUUGUCUGUAAAUAAGUUCAAUCGUAGAAUCAUUUACAAGUAAAUUUAUGUUCAAAGUUCUGAUGAACAGAGCGAAAGAUAAUGGCUUAUUUAGACUUGGUGGGGGAGGUAAAUGCAUGGUGCAACUAUCCUAAAAAAUAAAAAUAUUUUCUUUUCUUAUUGGCGCAUGGUGCUUAUUAAAAAGUGUCCCAAAGUUGAACAUGCUGACCCUGAUGCUACAGGACAUGCAACACAUGAGCAGGUAACGUAGUAGUAAAAUAUUCUGUUUUAUGAUUCCUUAUAGUAUCAAACUAUUUUAGCUUUAUUAGAGACAUGGGAUUAUGUGUCAAGGUUUUGCGUUAAUGAGGUCAGAACAUGAUAUUAAUCAGUGCAUUUUAGUUAUUGUACUGAUAUUAUGAUUUCUUUGAAUAAAGGGGCCAGUUGCAUUUACUGAUAUAAGGACCUCUUUUUAUUUUUCAUUUUUAAAAUGUGUUGUCCUCAAAUCACUGUGAUUGUAAUUUUCUUGAGUUGCCUAAGAAAAAGUGCAAUGAUUAAAAAUUUUGCGUGAUAAACUCAGUUGGUUGGAACUAUUACUUGAAGUGCAUUAAAUUUCCCUUUCGUCUCUUUGUUUUUUCGUUCUCUCGCGCACAUGUUUGGGGAUGGGGGAACUAUAUAUGUUUAUGACAUGGAACCAUUUUAUAUGUCAUGUAUUUCUAUAGUAUGAAUUUGAAGUGCUAAUGGAGUUGCUUAACUAUGUAGGCCCAACCAGCAAGUUCUUUGCCACCUUCAGUGCAACCUGUAACAGCUUCUCAAGUGCGUGCAUCAACAUAUAUAGUUCCCCAAUAUUAUUCAGUAGCAGCUCCUUUUGGUUCCAUUUGUACAAGUAGUUUUUUUAAUGAAUGGGUUUGGUGGUUAAAUUUAGGAGGAUUAACAACUAGAUUCGGUAAAAAAAANNNNNNNNNNNNNNNNNNNNNNNNNNNNNNNNNNNNNNNNNNNNNNNNNNNNNNNNNNNNNNNNNNNNNNNNNNNNNNNNNNNNNNNNNNNNNNNNNNNNNNNNNNNNNNNNNNNNNNNNNNNNNNNNNNNNNNNNNNNNNNNNNNNNNNNNNNNNNNNNNNNNNNNNNNNNNNNNNNNNNNNNNNNNNNNNNNNNNNNNNNNNNNNNNNNNNNNNNNNNNNNNNNNNNNNNNNNNNNNNNNNNNNNNNNNNNNNNNNNNNNNNNNNNNNNNNNNNNNNNNNNNNNNNNNNNNNNNNNNNNNNNNNNNNNNNNNNNNNNNNNNNNNNNNNNNNNNNNNNNNNNNNNNNNNNNNNNNNNNNNNNNNNNNNNNNNNNNNNNNNNNNNNNNNNNNNNNNNNNNNNNNNNNNNNNNNNNNNNNNNNNNNNNNNNNNNNNNNNNNNNNNNNNNNNNNNNNNNNNNNNNNNNNNNNNNNNNNNNNNNNNNNNNNNNNNNNNNNNNNNNNNNNNNNNNNNNNNNNNNNNNNNNNNNNNNNNNNNNNNNNNNNNNNNNNNNNNNNNNNNNNNNNNNNNNNNNNNNNNNNNNNNNNNNNNNNNNNNNNNNNNNNNNNNNNNNNNNNNNNNNNNNNNNNNNNNNNNNNNNNNNNNNNNNNNNNNNNNNNNNNNNNNNNNNNNNNNNNNNNNNNNNNNNNNNNNNNNNNNNNNNNNNNNNNNNNNNNNNNNNNNNNNNNNNNNNNNNNNNNNNNNNNNNNNNNNNNNNNNNNNNNNNNNNNNNNNNNNNNNNNNNNNNNNNNNNNNNNNNNNNNNNNNNNNNNNNNNNNNNNNNNNNNNNNNNNNNNNNNNNNNNNNNNNNNNNNNNNNNNNNNNNNNNNNNNNNNNNNNNNNNNNNNNNNNNNNNNNNNNNNNNNNNNNNNNNNNNNNNNNNNNNNNNNNNNNNNNNNNNNNNNNNNNNNNNNNNNNNNNNNNNNNNNNNNNNNNNNNNNNNNNNNNNNNNNNNNNNNNNNNNNNNNNNNNNNNNNNNNNNNNNNNNNNNNNNNNNNNNNNNNNNNNNNNNNNNNNNNNNNNNNNNNNNNNNNNNNNNNNNNNNNNNNNNNNNNNNNNNNNNNNNNNNNNNNNNNNNNNNNNNNNNNNNNNNNNNNNNNNNNNNNNNNNNNNNNNNNNNNNNNNNNNNNNNNNNNNNNNNNNNNNNNNNNNNNNNNNNNNNNAAAAUAGUUUGAGUUAUUAUAAAUAACUUUUAUAUUUUGGCAAUGGUUUCAUUAAUAAUUUAAUAUUAAUUAAUUAUUAAUGAUAAUAGAAUUGUUUGAUAAAUCAUUUAAUUAUGAUUCCGAUGUUUGAAAAUGCAUGAUAAAAUAUCAUAAAAGCUUUAAAAUUAUUUUUAAGUCAUUUAAAAAUAAAAUGACUGAUGUUAAGAUACAGAAUAAGAGUCUUAGACUCAGUAAUUACCCGAUAAAGUUGUCGGUACACCGACAAAUGUUAGACCUUAUAAAAGAAAGAAAAGGCUACUGUAAGAACAUGGAUGAGAUAUUUGAAAAAUGUAUAGAAUAUGAACUAAAAGUAUGAUCACUGCGAUUAUGUGAUGACGUGAUUAGACUAUGUGCUGACUGUAAUAUAUAGUACUAUGUGUUAUGAUAUAUUGUUCUAAUUGAACGAAUGAUCUGAUUAUUGAUAGGUUGUGAAAAAAAGAUAAAACCUAAGUUGAGAUUUGUAAUCAGCGAAUUAGGCAAGUAUCCUACCUUUGCAUUUUCUUUAUGCAAUGGACAUGAGUAAGAGAGUUUCAGAAUUCUUUUCUAUUCCUGUACAGAUUAUGUACGCUUUGAUUAUCAACAUGUUAGCUCAGAUAUAUAUUCUGCUAAGUUGAUUUCUAAAUGGUUAUACAAGUGUCCCCACUUGGAUAAUCAUGACAUUUAUUCACAUGUUGAUACACCUUUGUCAAUUACCCGUAUAUAUAU